Molecule: ribosomal RNA, 199 nt
Filed under: Candidatus Collierbacteria bacterium
Lineage: Bacteria; Candidatus Collieribacteriota
Description: partial 23S ribosomal RNA
Rfam family: Bacterial large subunit ribosomal RNA
Source: RNAcentral
UCAAGCUACUCAAAUAAAGCAUAUGGUGGAUGCCUUGGCAUAAUGUGCCGAAGAAGGACGUAAUAAGCCGCGAUAGUCGUCGGUGAGGAGCUAAUAUCCUUUGACCCGGCGGUGUCCGAAUGGGGUAACCCCGGUUCGUGUAAACGGACUGGACCGAGAGAUUUAUCUUUCGGUCGGUAACCCGGAGAACUGAAACAUC